CCUACGGGUGGCAGCAGUGAGGAAUAUUGGUCAAUGGACGAGAGUCUGAACCAGCCAAGUAGCGUGAAGGAUGACUGCCCUAUGGGUUGUAAACUUCUUUUAUAUGGGAAUAAAAUGUUCCACGUGUGGGAUUUUGUAUGUACCAUAUGAAUAAGGAUCGGCUAACUCCGUGCCAGCAGCCGCGGUAAUACGGAGGAUCCUAGCGUUAUCCGGAUUUAUUGGGUUUAAAGGGAGCGUAGGUGGAUUGUUAAGUCAGUUGUGAAAGUUUGCGGCUCAACCGUAAAAUUGCAGUUGAAACUGGCAGUCGUGAGUACAGUAGAGGUGGGCGGAAUGCGUGGUGUAGCGGUGAAAUGCUUAGAUAUCACGAAGAACUCCGAUUGCGAAGGCAGCUCACUGGACUGCAACUGACACUGAGGCUCGAAAGUGUGGGUAUCAAACAGGAUUAGAUACCCCAGUAGUC
This 460-nucleotide ribosomal RNA is filed under the name uncultured bacterium. RNAcentral's name for it is "partial 16S ribosomal RNA". It matches the Rfam family "Bacterial small subunit ribosomal RNA", at positions 338 to 795 of the family's 1533-position model. The record is from RNAcentral.